Molecule: non-coding RNA, 29 nt
Filed under: Mus musculus (house mouse)
Lineage: Eukaryota; Metazoa; Chordata; Mammalia; Rodentia; Muridae
Source: RNAcentral
UGGGAGAAUGGUAGCCCUUUGAGGGAUGU